Molecule: non-coding RNA, 172 nt
Filed under: human gut metagenome
Description: Lysine riboswitch
Rfam family: Lysine riboswitch aptamer
About the family: Riboswitches are metabolite binding domains within certain messenger RNAs that serve as precision sensors for their corresponding targets.
Source: RNAcentral
GAAGAUAGAGGUUGCGUGAGACAAGAGUACUUGGUCGGAUAUGGCAGACAUAAAAGAAGACAUAAGGAAAGGGGAACACGCCGAAAGGUUAUUUUCCUGCAAAGAAUAAUCUUGGGCAUGGAUUGAAGAAGUUCAUGACUGUCAUCUUGUAAUAAGAUGGGGCGCUAUCGGU